ACGAACGCUUGCGGCACGCCUUACACAUGCAAGUCGUACGAGAUUUGUGGUAGCUUGCUAUCAUAAAUCUAGUGGCGAACGGGUGAGUAACACGUAGGAAUUUGCCUUAGAGUUGGGGAUAAAAUACCGAAUACGCUCUAAAUAAGCUUGUUGUUAAUAAUGUUUUCAUUGUUAACAAGAGGUUUAUAAGAGGAAAGAUAUUUAUCGCUCUAAGAGAAGCCUGCGCCGGAUUAGGUAGUUGGUGGGGUAAUGGCCUACCAAGCCUACGAUCCGUAGCUGGUCUGAGAGGACGAUCAGCCACACAGGAAUUGAGAUACGGUCCUGACAUCAUUAGAUGGCAGCAGUGGGGAAUAUUGGACAAUGGGGGAAACCCUGAUCCAGCGAUGCCGCGUGAACGAAGAAGGUCUUAAGAUCGUAAAGUUCUUUCACUCGUGAAGAUAAUGACGUUACCGAGCGAAGAAGCACCGGCUAACUCUGU
This 478-nucleotide ribosomal RNA is filed under the name uncultured bacterium. RNAcentral describes it as "partial 16S ribosomal RNA". It matches the Rfam family "Bacterial small subunit ribosomal RNA", at positions 29 to 506 of the family's 1533-position model. The record is from RNAcentral.